Molecule: ribosomal RNA, 494 nt
Filed under: uncultured bacterium
Lineage: Bacteria
Description: partial 16S ribosomal RNA
Rfam family: Bacterial small subunit ribosomal RNA
Source: RNAcentral
GACGAACGCUGGCGGCGUGCUUAACACAUGCAAGUCGAACGGAAAGGCCUGCUUUCCCUUGUGGAUUGCGGGUACUCGAGUGGCGAACGGGUGAGUAACACGUGAGUGAUCUGCCCCCAACUUGGGUAAAAGCCUGGGAAACUGGGUCUAAUUCCCGAUAGGACUGCAGGGUGGUGCCUGUGGUGGAAAACGAUUUUCUAGUGGUUGGGGAUGAGCUCGCGGCCUAUCAGCUUGUUGGUGGGGUAAUGGCCUACCAAGGCGGCGACGGGUAGCCGGCCUGGGAGGGUGGACGGCCACAUUGGGACUGAGAUACGGCCCAGACUCCUACGGGAGGCAGCAGUGGGGAAUAUUGCACAAUGGGCGGAAGCCUGAUGCAGCGACGCCGCGUGGGGGAUGACGGCCUUCGGGUUGUAAACUCCUUUCGACCGCGAGGAAGCCACCUGGUUGGAAGGGUGGUGACGGUAGUGGUAGAAGAAGCACCGGCUAACUACGUG